UGGGGAAUAUUGCACAAUGGGCGAAAGCCUGAUGCAGCAACGCCGCGUGAGUGAUGAAGGUCUUCGGAUUGUAAAGCUCUGUCUUUUGGGACGAUAAUGACGGUACCAAAGGAGGAAGCCACGGCUAACUACGUGCCAGCAGCCGCGGUAAUACGUAGGUGGCGAGCGUUGUCCGGAUUUACUGGGCGUAAAGGGUGCGUAGGCGGAUGUUUAAGUGAGAUGUGAAAUACCCGGGCUUAACUUGGGUGCUGCAUUUCAAACUGGAUAUCUAGAGUGCAGGAGAGGAGAAUGGAAUUCCUAGUGUAGCGGUGAAAUGCGUAGAGAUUAGGAAGAACACCAGUGGCGAAGGCGAUUCUCUGGACUGUAACUGACGCUGAGGCACGAAAGCGUGGGUAGCAAACAGGAUUAGAUACCCUGGUAGUCCACGCCGUAAAACGAUGAGUACUAGGUGUAGGAG
RNAcentral lists this ribosomal RNA (457 nucleotides) under uncultured bacterium. Its description in RNAcentral is "partial 16S ribosomal RNA". It matches the Rfam family "Bacterial small subunit ribosomal RNA", at positions 355 to 828 of the family's 1533-position model. The record is from RNAcentral.